RNAcentral lists this ribosomal RNA (500 nucleotides) under uncultured bacterium. Its description in RNAcentral is "partial 16S ribosomal RNA". It matches the Rfam family "Bacterial small subunit ribosomal RNA", at positions 30 to 523 of the family's 1533-position model. The record is from RNAcentral.
AUUGAACGCUGGCGGCAUGCCUUACACAUGCAAGUCGAACGGUAACGGGUCCUUCGGGAUGCCGACGAGUGGCGAACGGGUGAGUAAUAUAUCGGAACGUGCCCAGUAGUGGGGGAUAACUGUUCGAAAGAGCAGAUAAUACCGCAUACGACCUGAGGGUGAAAGGGGGGGAUCGCAAGACCUCUCGCUAUUGGAGCGGCGGAUAUCAGAUUAGCUAGUCGGUGGGUGAAAGGCCUACCAAGGCAACGAUCUGUAGUUGGUCUGAGAGGACGACCAGCCACACUGGGACUGAGACACGGCCCAGACUCCUACGGGAGGCAGCAGUGGGGAAUUUUGGACAAUGGGCGCAAGCCUGAUCCAGCAAUGCCGCGUGCAGGAAGAAGGCCUUCGGGUUGUAAACUGCUUUUGUCAGGGAAGAAAUCUUCUGGGCUAAUACCCCGGGAGGAUGACGGUACCUGAAGAAUAAGCACCGGCUAACUACGUGCCAGCCGCCGCCGUAA